Molecule: long non-coding RNA, 29109 nt
Filed under: Ananas comosus (pineapple)
Lineage: Eukaryota; Viridiplantae; Streptophyta; Magnoliopsida; Poales; Bromeliaceae
Description: long non-coding RNA (ACOM_LNC007991)
Source: RNAcentral
UUUUCGCGAUGCGUAUUUAGCAGAUUCUUGAUCGUCAUGAUUGUGGAAGGGGUUCAGGUUGGGAACCUGGGUGAUGAUGUAAGGUACGUAUGGGAUAAGUGGAUGGCAAGGAAUAGUGCUCAAUCGGUUGGAAACAUAAUGAUUGGAUUGACAGCUAGUUGGUGGAUCAUUUGGAAGGUAAGGAAUACCGUUAUUUUUAGGAUGGCUAAUACUAACCCCUUGCUAGUUGUCAACUCGAUCAGACGUUUGAAGAUUCAGUGGGAGGAGAACAGCGUGUUUAAACGAGCGUACCCUGGCCCCGAAAUUUAAAGGAAUUUAAAUGUUGUUUUUUAAUUUUCUUUUUCUUCUUCUUCUUCUUCUUUUUAUUUUUUUUGUUUAGGUUUUUAUUAUUAUUUUGGUAUCAUUCGGAGGUCCUCUAUCUCACUCUUGUAAUUUAAUUCAUUUCUUUAAUAAAUGAACUAGAUAGUAUGCUAUCUUUCUCUCAAAAAAAAAAUUGUCGACCGCCAAAGAUGUAGGCAAUUCACUACUUGAAGUUGACGGAUAAGUUAUGUUUCAGUUUGACUAAUUAUCCUUUUAAAACUUUAAGGUAUCGUUUGGUUCGGGGAUAACCAAAAAAUGAUUAUUCCAGGGAUAGAUAUAAAUUGAGGUAUAAGCGGGGAUUAGAUCAAUUUUGCGUUUGGAUGAAAAUUAGGUUAUUUUUAGGAAUAAAAAAAAAUAGCGUUUGGUUAGAUAAGAUGAAAUAAGAAAGAUAGUAGAUUUUUAUAAAUAAAAAAUAAUAAUAUUACCAUCUUAUUAUAUUUGAAUUUAAAUUUUUAAAAUUUAAAAUUUAAAAUUUUAACUUUAAAUUUAAAAUUUUAAAAUUAAAAUUUAAAAUUUAAAAUCUCAAAUUUUAAAUUCAAAAUUUUAAAUUUUAAAUUUCAAACUUUAAAUUUAAGUUCAAAUUUAAAUUUAAAAAAUAUAAAAUAUAAAAUUUUAAAUUUCAAAAAUAAAAUAUCAAAAUUUAAUUUUAAAAUUUAAAAUUUAAAAUUAUAAACUUUAAUUUUGAGAUUAUAAAUUAUAAAUUUUAACAAUUUAAAUUUUUAAUUUUUAAAAUUUUAAAAUAAGAAUAGGGAUGGGAACAAUUAAUAAAAAUAAUUUAUUAUAAUAAAUUUAUAAAUUUUUUUAAAAUUCUACUUAAAUUUAAAUUUAAUAAAAAAAAUUUAUUAUAAUAUUUAAAUAUAAUUUAUUAUAAAUUUUAUUAUAAUAUUUAAAUAUAAAUAAUAUGUAUUAAUAUAGUACAAUUAAUAAUUUUAUAAUAAAAAUAAUUUAUUAUAAUAUAUAACAUAUUAUAUUUAUAUAAUUUAGUUUAAUUCAAUUUAUAAUUUUAAUUAAGUUUGAAAUUAAGCAUUGUAAUAGCGCUAUUCCACCAAAGUGGUGGAAUAGCAAAUCCCUUGCUAUUCCAGGAUAACCGGGAAUAGUAAGGUUUGACCGGAAUAUUUUAUCCCGACAAUAAAUCUUUCCGUUUGGCAGAAUAGCGAGGAUAACGAAAGUUAUCCCCGCUUAUCCCCUGAACCAAUUAGGGCCUAAGUGUUUCUAAUAAAUGUUCACUGCAUUUGUAAACAUAAAUUUCAAAUUUGAGUUUCGUCUAGCACUUUGGCUAAUUUUUGUUCAUCUUUCACUGUAUGUGUUGCCAAAUGCUCUUCAAUCUUUUAAUAGGCUUCGUUGUUUGAGCUCGGCAAUUAUAUCAACAAUAAUUUUGAAUUCAUUCGACGAGAAAAUAUAUAUAAAAAAGAAAAAAAAAAAAAGAAUAGGGAGUGAUAAAUAUAGGACAGUAAUACUUUAGACAGGAUGUGAAGGGAGGGGUAGCCCUUGUUAUUUAGCCAAACUUUAAAAUUGUCACAUUAAAAUAUAGAUAUAAGAUAAAGUAAAAGUUGGACAGGCCUUCCCUGUUUUCACUCCAAAAGGUAAAGAGCAAAUUCGACAAGCCUAAUAAAAGAGUUCGACUAGGAUAAUAAACAAAUCAAUUUUUUUUUAGAGAAAAAAAUAGCAUGCUAUCUAUUUAAUUUAUUAAAUAAAUGCAUUAAACUAUAAGAGUAAGGUAAAAAGGACCUCCAAACCAGACCAAAAAGGAAAAACAAAUUUCAAUUGAAAAAAAAACACGUAACAAAAAAGAAGAAGAAGAAAGUUUCAAUUCAGAGGCUAGGAACAAAUCGUUUUUUAAAUCCACAAAAAGAGAUAAUUUGUCUUUGAAUGGGCCUCGUUCAUUAUACAGCAGCUCUCUUACAUAUAUGCUCUGUAUUCUAGGAUUCUUCUAAGAUGAUACUUAGGGUGCGUUUGGUUCGCACUAUCUUUUAAAGAUUCCUAGUAAUCCAAUGGGAAUAAAAAAAUAUGACGGUGUUUGGCUAAACGCACUAAGUAAUCUAGUUGGUAAUAUUAGAUUCACUUGGGAAUAAGAUUCACCCCAAAGUACUAAUCUCAUUUCCUUAAGAGAGGGUGGGUAUUCUCAUAUUAAUGGAUUGGGAUAAUCAUAAUAUGUCUAAUUUCUUUCUUUCUUCUUACCCGCCGGCUAAUUGAUAUUAUUUUUCUUUACACUCUAACCUUAUUUCUCUCUCUAAACUUUUUUCUCUCUAAAAUUCAACUUUUUUUUCUCUCUCUAAACUAAGCUUUCUCUCUCUCUUUCUAAAAUUUCAACUCUCUCACUCCCUCUAGUUUCGACUAUAUUUUUCUUUCUAUUUUUUUAAUUAUGCUCUCUCUCUAAAUUAUACUCUCUCUCCUUUUUUUCUAAAAAGAUGUUGAAACUUUUGUUAACAUUAUCUAAAAUUAAUUAAAUAAAUAAAUAACUUAAUUGUAUAUUUUUUGUAAUAUUAAAUAACAUGGCUAAUUAAUAUUACCGUGCGAACCAAACACAGAAAUUUCACAUUCUUAGUAAUAGAAUGAAUAGGAAUAAGAUUCUCGGAUAUCUUUUAUUCCUAGUAAUAUUUCAUAAUGCGAACCAAAUGCACCCUUAGGUACUUUGGUAGCACGAAACAGUUCUCUACUUUAGUUAAAAUUCGCAUCAUUUGCUUUCCGAAUCUAAAUCCGCGCUCAUUCGGGUAUCAUCUUACACGAAAAGGGCUUAAAGCCUAUUUGUUAGGAGCUGCAAAUAGAAGGGGCCCAAGAACUCGAUUACGAAAAGGACCAAAAGAAGCAAAACACCUUUCCUUUUUGUGCGAUGAAACAAUGCGAGGAAAAAGAAAUUUGAGCAAUCAUUUCCAAUCUUUAACUUUGUAAAAGCUAUUGGCAAUCAUUAUGCGUAUGGAUCCUUCAAAAUGACUUGCCUAGAUUUGAUUUAUAUAAUUAUACCAUACUAAAGGUCAUGAUUUCGCAUUAUUUUGCCUCGAAUAAUAGUUAAAUUUGAAUUUAAGAUUUGGAAGCGACUUGUGCUAGAUUACGAGAUCAGGUUAUACAUAUAUAUAAUUAUGAGACCAUAAGACCGACCGUCUCUAGCACAAGUGCUAAAAAAUUUAGUAAUUGAUACCCGAAAAUUUUUGUUCAAAUUUAUAAUUAAUUUAUAUUUUCAGUUAAAUUUAUUUAUAAAGAAAAUAAACGAAAUGACUGUUAAGCAUGCAUGUGGCAUUGCCCUCUAGAAUUUGGAUGCAAUGCAAUGUUGCCGAAAAAAGACAGUAACUUGUCAAAUACACAUAAACGACGUGUAUGCGAAAUAUGCUUUUCCAAAAGAGUUGCCAUUCUUUAUGAGAUUCUUGUCACAUGCAGCAUUAUGAAAGUAUGCUUUCUCAAAUAGCGCAUUUACGGAGAAAAUGACAAUUAGUCCUUGAUUAAUCCUCAACCAUUAAUUGUAAAUUACUUUUUAUCCUUUUCCUUUUUUAAUUUUUUAGAAAAUGCCAGUGUGCAAUUUUCAGAAGAUAUUCCAUGCGGCAGCAUUGCAUUGUCGCUUUACAACAUUGCUCUUCAAAAACUCGUUUCAAUAAUAAGCAAUUUCUUUUCCUCAAUAAUAAGCAGCUUCUAGCAAUUAAUUAAAGAUUUUAAAACAAGGUGUUAAUUACAUAAAUUCAUAAUAAUACAAACAAACAAGAGGAAAAAAAAAAACACUAAAAAAACACUAGUUAUUGCGAUGUUACGAGGACGGAGACGUGACAUUGGACCGGCCCAAGAAAAUUAAAAAUAAUAAUAAUUCCGGUGGGCCACGUGGGACCCCCACGUGGGGCCAGCUCGGGGACCGCUCCCUACGGCCUACGACAAAAAACAAAAAAAAAAAAAGAAAAGAAAAGGGCGGGGGCGGGAGCCGGCUCAGCUGGGUCGCACCUUUUGUCCUUUGUGUUCCCACUCAAAAACUCGUGAUCGCAACCAAAAAAACCCCCAAAAGCUAAAUCCCGAUCCACACCUACCGAGCAUCACCCGUACUCUCCACUCUUAAGUCUCAACUCAAGCACCCUCCCCUCCUGCUUCGUCUUCUUCCUCAUCCUCAUCCACCCCUAGUCCUCUCCACACUCUCCGCCAUUUCCCCAUUGGAAUUGGGAAUCACAAGCCACAUUUGUAUCCGCGAUCGAUCGGAGAUCCAGUUGCGGAGUUGGAGUACCUCUCACGAGAAACAGAUCCGUUUCUUCUCCUCGGUGAGUGCUCAAUUCCUGUUUCUCUUCGGUACGCUUCCCUUUACUUUGUUAGAUCGUUUUCGUGCCAAUGGAUUGCGUAGUCUCGCUGUUAUGGGUUUGUUCUUUGCUUCUGUCGUUCUACUUGGUGGUUUAUAUACGUAUAAGAGAGAGAUUACUCGGUGUGAGGGGUUUUGGACCGAGAUGAGCGGCAAUGGCGAAGUUGCUUAGGUUUCAGUGAGAUCCGUUCCAUUUUGCUUCGUUUACGCUGUGUUGUUAUUGAGCUAUGGAGUCAAAGGGAGGAGCAUUAGAGCACUUUAUCUUCUUUUCUUUUUUUUUCAAUUUUCCCCCUUUUUCCUAAGAACAAAGAAUUAUGAAUGUCUGGGCUCUUGUUUUAUAUAUAUAUUUUUUUUUAUUCUGAAAAGUAUUAUUAUUAUCAUUAUUUUUUCAAAAUAAAGUAAUAGGCGUUAGACCCUGUGUAAGUCCAUUUAAGAAAGCAGAGAAGGGUAAUCACUUGGAUGGGCCAGUCCGAUGAAGGAGAUCGCUUAUAUAUUAUUAUUAUAUUCAUUAAGCAUCAUGAUGCCUCCGUUUUCAAACUUUUCAGUCUUGGAUCAUACAAUGUAGCUCUUAAUAUUGGCUAACGUUAGUAUAUUUGAUAUCUUUUGUCUAUGAUAAGUUCUGUUAUGUCGAUCUAGUAAUCUAUAGCUUUCUCGAUUACUCGGAAAAAUGGUGAAUAAACCGGUUCUAUCGCUAUAGAUUACAAUCCUAUUCUUCCAGUUACUCUUCACAGGACCAUCCCGCUAAGGAAUGAUCUGUCAUGGUGGUUAUAUUUCUUGCAUUAAUUAUCUCGUUUAAUUACUACAUUGUUUAAGAUUGAUUUUUCGUGUUGCACAUAUAGGUGAAAUCCUUCCUACCUUUCCUAGUCCGGCAGGGAUCAGCAUUACUGCUAAAUAUAUUAGCGCAAGGAUUGAUAUUGGGAAAUAAUACCAUAUUGCUGCAUUUACAUGGAUUUUUGCAAAUGAAAAAAGCUUCAAUGGCUAUAUGAAAACACCGUAAAAAAUGCACACCGGAAACAAAGCAGAGCAUGAACAAACUUUGGCAAUGGGAUCUGAAGCGCAAGUCAGGAGGAACUCCUUACAGUAUCACUUCUCAGGGGUACCCAAGGAGACGACAUUACCGCCUAGAAGAAGCAGGAAUACAAAAUAUCAAGACCAUAAUACGGCCCUAAAAUUUGGGAAGCUCAGCAGGCAAGCAGUUCCUGAUCAAUAUUCUUCAAUCAAAAGCCCAAUCCACACUAUACCCUUGAAAAGUCACCAAAAGCCGUGGCCUGUUACUAAGGCAAGUGGUGCUGAUGAGCUCGUAAAACACAUGUCUAAUGUGCCAUCUUAUCUCCAGCACCGAAAAAGAGGAGACAAUCUUCAGGGGAAGGCUUUGAAUGUUGGAGUCCUUGAUUGGGGCCUUCUUGAAAGAUGGACAUGCAACAAAAGACAUGUUCUUAGCAGAAGUGAUAGAGAUUCGCCCUCUAGUAGUAACGAGUCAUCAUCGUUUUAUACAUUUGGAUCAUCUAACCAGUCCUGCGGAAGCACGGGUAGCCCCCUUCCUUGUGGCAAUGGAUCUCCUUCCGCGAAUGGACGGUUCAAUCCGUCUGUCGGUAUUAGGAACAAGAAAGAGAAAAAUAAAGCUUCAGAAUCAACUAGUAGAAAGGAGGAACCACCCUCAACAUUGGUGCUCAAGGUGGCAGGGGCUCAAGAUGGCACACUCAAUAGAGAAGAAAAUAUCCAGCACCACUUUAGUAGUCUACACUUGGGCAGAGAAGGGCAACAGAAUGGCUCCUUUGCUUUACCCAUGAGUGGAAAAUCUGUUUGGGAUCAUCUCGAACAACGAGUUGAUGGAAGCCGAAUCAGCUUUGAGUCCUCACCAACUAAAUAUAGAGGGCAGAUGGAGAGAAACUGCAAUGGCUUCUCAAUUGAAGUUCUUUGGGAUCUCCAACAGAUCGAUCAACCUAGUCAUAUUUCCCAUUCUUGUCCUCUCCCGGAUACAAGUUUAAUAGAUGAACCAGUCAUCAGUAACGGUUUUCUAACAGAAAACAUUUUACGAGGCAGUGAGGCAGAAUUGAAAACUGAACGGAAGAACAUACUCGAAGAACAUACAUCUAACAGGCCAAGUCAAGGUGAUGUGAGCACAAGUCUUGCUACUGAAAGAAAAUUGUACAGUCAUCACUCAAGUGUUGGACCUGCUGGAAUGAGUCGCAGUUCCAGUUUAAGGUAUGAUUCUUCUGUUCAACAGUUGGAACCAACUGGUUGUGGCAAUAAAUCAAACAACAGGGGUAGGCAGAGCCCACUGAGGAGGAUAUUAGAUCCAUUUAUAAAGCCUAAGAACCACAUGGACUUUUCCAGUUCCAUUUCGUCCUCACCUCGUCGCCUCUCUCAUGAGGCACGUUAUACUGGUAAGUCUAGUAGUUCGGAACGAUUGAACUCAUCAAAUGGGCCUUGUAGGUUAAUGGAUACAUGCGUUAAUUCCACUAGCCCGAGAAAGAGGCAAGCUCUUCUUCAACUAGCUUGGAAGAAUGGGUUGCCUUUGUUUAUGCUCUCGUCCAGUGGCAGUAAUAUUCUUGCAGCCACAGUAAGAAAGAAAAGCAUCUGUGACAAGAAUGAUUUAGAAUGUGUUUAUACAAUAUUUACUGUACAAGAAUCGAAGCGAAAAGGUCGCAUAUGGACUAAGCCAGGAAACAAAGGCAAGAAGCAUCAAUUCCUCUCUAGCGUCGUUGGUGAGAUGAAUGUUUCAUGUUCAAGGUCAAUGUUCCAUGAUUCAAAAGGAGAUCAUGUUGUCAGACAGUUUGUUUUGUUUGGUAGUGAACUUGUACCGACAUCCAACGGACCUACAGAUUCCCAAUUUAACUGUGAGCUUGCAGCCAUUCUUGUGAAGCAAGACUUGAAAACUAAGCAGAAUAAUCAGAGUUCUGAAUUAUCUAAUCUCGUAGCUAUACUUCCAAGAAGCAUUCAUGGGUUUUCAACUUCUGGGAAGCCCUCACCUUUGAUAGAAAGAUGGAGAUCCGGUGGAGCAUGCGAUUGUGGGGGGUGGGAUGAGGGUUGUGCUCUUACUAUACUCGCUGACGAGCUCCAGGACUGCAAAACUUCUGGUUCAGUCCGAAUUUGCGAUGAUGCAGAUGGUACUCAGCGAAUUGAAUUGUUUGUUCAGGUAUGCUAUUUUAGAUAGUCAUUUAUUUCCUUCUUCGGCCAACUGGUCUCUUGAAUUUGCUGACGUCAAUAAUAAUUCAUUCUUUAGGGUCGAUCUCAAGAAAGUGGACAUCCCUUUAGCAUGAUUUCUUUCAAAGAAGGGUUGUAUACAGUUGAAUUUCAGGAAUCGAUUGCUUUACUUCAGGCUUUUGUGAUUUCAAUUGCAAUUCUUCACAGCAGAAGCCUUACAAAACAUCAAGCAGAGGUUAACGGCUUGCAGGAGCCAGUCGUUGCUGAUCUUGGAAAUAAGGCUUCUGCACAAAGUAAAGGUGGAGUUCAAACAAGCUAUGUACCGAAUUAUCCACCACUUUCUCCUGUUGGAAGAGCUUAAUUACAGACCUAAGCAAUAGGUAUGGGUUUCGCUUUUUUCUUGUACCAUAUGUAGUAUAAAAGUUCAUAGAUAUAGAUCACAUGCACUUGUCUUCACUUAAAAGCUAUCUUUGAUUUGCCAAUCCUUGGUAGUAAAAUCUACAUUAUAUGCACCUGGUUUCAUGAUAUGAUGUACAGUGCUUCAUUAGUUCAUCUAUCUUUCUGUUAUAAUAAAAUACUGUACUCUUUAGGGGACAAGAAAGAAGGUAAAUUGCUCGUUCUGUGGCAAUCUGUAUCGCAUGUCAUCCACCAUAGAGAAAUAUAAAGGACAAAGGUUCUUUCUGAAUCAAAUGGCUGUCGUUUUCCAAGAAGAGUAUAAACAAGGCCAUAGCUUGUAUCUAAUGCGCAUAGUUUCUUGCUGCAUUUAACUAUCCAGGCAUAGAGUUCUUGUCAUAUUGUUUUAGUUAGGCCAUAGCUACAUAGCCACAAAGGCAUCCUAUAGAACACUUGCGUAUGAACAUGUGGUAGCAAUUCAUGUGGCAAAGCAAUUGCUGAAAGUUUGUGAGGCUUUGAUUCCUUUGUUGUUCGAGAGAUCAAUUAACUAUGUUAGGGAAUUUGUAGUUUCAGGAUGUUUAUCAUAUUUGGUCAUUAUUCUUGGGUUAACUUCCAAAAACAAUAAUGUGGUAUAGCGUAUUUUCAUCUAGGAGUCUCUCAGAGUGACCGACCGUCCUUAGCACAAGUGACAAAGGGCUUGGUGGGUAGUAUUCAAAGUUUUAGGUUUGAAGCUUAGCUGCUUCAUAUUUUCAGCUAAGCUUAUUUCUAACAAAAAAUAAACAAAGUAGAUGCCAUGCUACCUUUCUCUCUCUCAAAAAAAGUCUCUCAUAGUCAUAGUUUCAUUUCUAUUACUAUGGUAUUCUGAGAUUUCUAUUCUGGUUUUUUGUAAGGAUUUUUCUGUCAGCCUUGUUAGAAUUUGGAUUUAGGUUGCGUUUUAUCUUCUUUGGGUGGGGCUUUGGUUGACCAAAAACUCAAUUGAGAUCCGUCAGUUUAGAUCAAAAUAUGACCACGACAUGAUCCAAAGUUGUUUGUGUUGAUCAAAACCCAGUGCAAAGUCAAUUAUAAAUGAAGCUAAUAGAAAAGUUGUUACAAAAAGCUGAAACAGUAAUUCCCAAAUUCCGGAUACCUUGUUCUUUAUGUAAGGAAAUGAAACAGUUUUUAUUUCUUCUUAGUUUACUCUUGUUCUUUCUAGUAAGCUAGAUGCAAACUAUCAUGAUUUGAUCUUUUUUACUAGAUGAAAAAAAAUUUAUCAGAUCUUAGCAUCCCUUCUACUCAUCCUUUUUUUAUUUAAUACAGACCAUAUCUCUAGACAGUGAAGAAUGCUACCCUUAUAUUCCUUAUAGGGAUGUAAGUCUUACAUCUCUUAAUCUAAAGUUUUACAAAGUCCCUUUGAAUUUUAGUUAAAAUAAAAAGACUCACAAAGCUUCUUUGGGUUUUAGUAAAAAAUAAUAAUAAUAAUAAUAAGUGAGCAAAGAAAGACCACAAAAGGUCUAGGGUGUAAACGUUACACCUAUUUUAUAGGCCGACGAGUAGCAUUACUCCUAGCUUAAUGGGGUUCAUCAAUGUUCUGCUGGCUUUUUCAGCAUCACUCAGUCCCUGCAAGGUUUAUCACUGCGCCUUAACGAUUGUACGGUUCUCCCUUUAUUAUACCUUGUGGCAGUUUUCGUAGGCUUUUACCAAUAUAAAAGGUUUUGUGCGUUUGAGCAAUUAGUGUUGGCUUUAUAAAGGGGCAAAAAUUUUAUGGGCAAGUAGUUUGGGGACUACGUCGAUCGACGCCGGCCAUGUGGCCGAUCGGACGGAUGUCUUUCUCAAUAAUUUUCUCUCUCUCUCUCUCUCAAAAUGCAUGGUUUUUUUCUUUCCAUCCGUGGCCGUCGGAUGAGCCACAUGGCACCGACCCGCGUAGUCCUCCUGCUAAUUAGUUUGGAGAUUAUGCCUAUAAAAUUUUUGUCCGGGUUCUAGCCUCUUGGGUUGUACUGGUGAAUGUAAUUAAUCGGCAGCUGCUGACAAGUUAUUUUAACUGCUAGUGAUGUUUAAAAUGAUUGAUUUUUUGUCCUGAUCCUCUACUUAGCAAGUUUGUUUAGAAGGGAAAAGCUUUUGAAACCCCUGGAGAUCCCGUUGACGCAUCAACAUGUGUUAGUAUAUCAUCAAUUCAUGGAGAGCAAUGGAUUUUGUAUUCUACUAUUCUGUAAUACCGCGGCGUUCAUAUAAAAGUUGUGGCAGGGUGCCUUCACAGAAAAUUCUCAUAUUAGCUCCUUCUAUGCUCCUUCUAUGCUGAAACACUGAAAACAUUAUAGUAAAUAUUUAAAAUUUUCUUACAAGGAAAAGCACAACCGCAACCGGCCUAUCACAUGGCAUGGAGUACUCUAAUAAGUCUUUUUCGUUCAUUAUUAUUUUCUUGGUACAACACGGGUAUUGUCGGAUCUUCUGGCUUUCUAGAAUGGCAGCAGAUGAUAAACCCUAUCCUCCACAUACCCCUUUACUUGUCCCUAUAAGAACAGACCGGGUGGCCAUUGAUUUUGAAUCUUCCAGAUUUUUUUUUUUUUUUAUCUGUUAAAGCAACAAGGUGAGGCAAUCGUAUGUAGUUAGUGUUCUUAACGGCUGCAUCAGUUAUAACAAAUUAGUCUACAGCGACGGCCAAUAUAAUAAUUAUAAUUAUUCUUAAUAAAUAAAUAAACACGGGAUCCAAUUUCUCAAUCAUGAUCCAUAUAUAUUAUAUAUAGUUUUAAAGGUAGAAGAGCGGGGACAGUCGAAUAUUGAGUGGACCACGAAGAUGUGCGUAUGUGGCUCCAGGCCAAUGAUGACGGCACUGCCACGUCAGCAGGGACUGUGCUCUCCGCCUGUGUGGAAAAAAUUAUAGAAUGCAAUGAAUAUAUUAGUGACGUGGCGUAAUAAAUCAAUCAAAUAUAAUUUUUUAGAGACAUAUGUCCCAUCAUAAUUGUAAAAAAAUAUUUUUAUUAUAUUUUUGUUUUAAAAAAAAAAUAAUUAGUUUAUUAUUGAUGAUGUGGGACAUGUGUGAUAGGGUAGGAUUUCUCCCACUGUGGCGAGUCAGAAUCUCGAAUCGUGGGAACGGAAUCUGGUGCGGAGCGAACAUGGCGCGCUUCAAACGUGGGCUGCUUCCGUGGGCGACCGGCUGACCCGCAGCAGGCUGACCGAAGUUGUCCCUUUCCCCACACCCACAGCAGAAAUUAUUGCAGGGCCGGACGCCACUGGUCCCAUCACAGACGGCAGUUUUCAUGCUCGAUCAUCAUCAGCAGCAGCAUAGAAAUUUCAAAUCACCACAGUUAGCCUCGUACUUCAAAAUUAAUUAAAAUCAUUAAUUAAGAGGUCGAAGAUUUCAUCCGAAAAUCGAACAAUAGAUUGAGGGCAACGAAGGGAGUCAGAAAGAAAGCUAAUUGAAAGCCAAUUCAUUCCACAUACAGGCCAAUCAAUAUGUGGCGUAUGCCGAGACCCUGACGCAAAACCUAACACAACUAGAUUAUAUUCUAAUUAGAAGUUCAGUUUUUGGAAAUUACAUAAUCUAUGUUCAAAUCGUUCGUGCUUCAACUCCUUAUAGUUGUGUUAUAAAGUAUCCUACAGCUAUAUUUAGGCCCGGACCGGAGCUAAACCUGGGUUAACUAACUGACUAUAGUUCAGACCGGAUCUGACUAGGGCCCACGUUUAAGCCACAUUAUUUUAGGCCCACCCCAGCCCAGCCCAGUCCAAUGCAUCGCCAAACGCGAUCGUCCUAGUCUAGAAUCUCUAGAUGAGCAUGCUUUUUUUUCCUUUUAAAUAAAUAGUAAUAAAAUUCAAAUUCAAAUAGAGUAGGCUUUGGAUUCGAAUCGGCUAAGCGGGUUGAACAAACUAUAAAGUAAUAAUAAUAAUAAUAAUAAUAAUAAUAUAAUAAUAAUAAUAAUAAGGUUAAAAGGGAAAUAAAUAAAAUAAAUAAUUAAAGCCUAAUUGUUUUACCAACCAAACGAGGUGGAUUUUCUAGAGGCGAGCGAAGGUCGCUAUCAAUUCCAGCACUAUCUGGCCUGCCCCUUCUCCCCCUCCUCCUUUCUCCGCUCGGCCUCCUUCGCGAUCACGAUCCGUGUCAACCCCGCGUUCUUACUAUUACCUUCAAUUGACGAGACCAAGGAAGCGGAAGCGGAAGCGGAAGCGGAAGCAAAAACUUAAAAAAAGCCGCCCCUCCUCCUUUCUCAUUCUUAUUCCCUAUUCUAUAGAAUAAUAAUCAUAUAUACGGGGAAAAAGAGAGAUAGAAGGUCUUCAUAUAAAAAUAGGGAAUAAGAGAAAGCCAUUUCUGGAAAGGGUGUUUGAAUUCGUGGCUCCAGAUAAUACGAUUCCCACCACCACCUCCCCCCCCGUCUCUCUCUCUCUCUCUCUCUCUCUCUCUCUCUCUUCUAUAUUUCUCCAUUGAUUUGAUUAGUUGGAGGAGGAGAACCCUUUUCUCCCAAUCGGAUCGUCCAAGGCUCUGAUAACAAAGAGCGUUGGACGACCAAUCUGUACGUCUCUCUAAUCGAACCAUUGGAGUGCCGAUGACCUUUUACGUUGCGCGCGAGGGUUCCAAGGUCAACACCAUCUUCCUCUUCCUCUUUUUUUUUUUUUUUUUUUUUUCUUUAAUUUUGUUUUGGCUUUGUGUUUAAUUUUGGUUUUGCAUGUAGCUUUGGGCUAGGGUUUCCUCGGAGAUAUCGGUGGAGUUGCAGCUUCUGCUGGAGAAAUGGAAGCUUCUGCUUGCCGGACUCAUUUUUCAGGUAAAUUCGCGUGAGAUCGUGACGCGAUCCUUCUUAAAUUGGUCUCGAUUUUGCAUCUGUAAUUUAGAAAAUGUUUGAUUGUAAAGUACUGUUGCUUGGUUGAUUGUAUUUGUUUCCUUAUCUUCAUCGACUUGUGCAAAUUUGAUCCUCCAAUUGUAGUGUCUUAAUUGUUUUUACUGGAUUUCUUAACUAUACGAUCGUGUUUUCAUCUUUGAUUUUGAGAACUGUUCUAUUUACAGCUGUUUGCAUCAAAAGUAGGGAUACUAAGCGCUCAUCAUUUGUUAGAAGGGAAAAUUGGUAUGUAGUUGUUAAGUGCUGCCUUAUGCAUGUGGGGUUAGUGUGUUCGGGGCCAAUGCUCCAUCCAAGAGAUGCAUUUUGUGAUUAAAAUAUAUAAGCAGUGGGGACAAGGGGAAUCAAUGUUUGCUAUGAAAGUUAAAUUAAUAUUCAAAAUUAAGAAAUUUGUUCCUCUUUAGUCUACUAUUCUUCAGAAGAGUUCAAAAAAUGUAUCAGUUCAACGCACUCUGCUCAUUAUCGCAGUUUCAUUUCUGUUUACAUAAAGUUGCAAGCGAAGACAAAACAACAUGUAAUCAGUUAUAUUAAGCAAUUAUAUUCUUAACAUAAUAGUAUUUUCAUAAUGUCAUGUGCUCACGACAUGUUAUAGCAGGUCCUAAGGUCAAAGCAUUGGAAGUAUUGCAUUAUUGAACCAAAAAUUGGUAUAGUAGAUCGAGAACUAAAUAGUAGUGAAGUUAUAUCAACUUACCCAAGAAAGAUAAGGUAAAUAGCAUUGUACUGCACAAAUGAACAUGUGAUGGUCUAAGCAGUUUCCUUUGGGCUGUUGUGCAUGCCAGCCGCUUUUAUUUGAAUGUCUGUUUAUGUAAUAUUGUUUUUGCUCGUUUUAUUAGAUUCCUCAUUAUGUCUCUGUUACUGUGAGCUAAAUAUAAAAAUUCUUUGGUCUCAGUAUUUGAUCUAUCUAUCAUUUGUCUUAAUUUAGUGCUUUUUUUUUUUUCUUCUUAGUUCAUAGUCUUGCUUUCCCUGAUGUUCCUGUUCAUUAUUUGACGUUCAAAUUUGUUUGAUUAACCAAGGUCUGAUUUUUUUGGGAGACUUACACCGCAAUUUUUCAUAUAACUAGUAUAUACAUGGAUUGGCUGCACGAGGAGUCCAUUAUUUGCAUCGGCCUGGGCCAAUUCUCCAAGAUCUCGGGUUCAUGAUCCUUCCGGUAAGUGUGACAUGUUUGAAAUUUACUAGCAUUUCAUCUUUAUGUAAUACUAGAGAAUAAUAGUUGUAAGUUAGAUUUUCAAUUUCAUCCGACUUUCUCUUUAUGCCUUUGCUAUUAGGAGCUUGGAAAAGAGAGAGGCUACAUCAGUGAGAGUCUUUUCACUUUCAUCUUUUUGUCCUUUGUAGUGGUAUGCUUCUAUCUUACUUUGAGCUAUUCACAAAUUAUUAAUGUUUUAGUUGCUGCUUGCUGCCACACAUUCUCUACAUGUGUGCAUGAUUAAUUAGUAUCACGAGCAUUUGGCCUUUUAGUUUUCAUUGUUAAAUAAAGUUUCUCUUGAAUUUGACUUUCAUUAAUUUGGUCAAUAAAUUCGUUUUGCCUCUUUUACUACUAUUUUGCUAGAAGAUAAACGGGUACUCAGUUGGCUACUUCUAAGAAUAAAAAUUAGGUAAAAUGUAUGGAGACACUUUCUACUAUACACCAUUUCCCCUCUAACUUCUUUUUUUUAUAUGUCUUAUUUGAGUUAUUCUAGUUACAGUUGAGUUUGUGUUCACUAUUUCACUAUUUGCACUGGCUUCAAGCAAAGUAAAUUAGAUGGAAACCUAGGACUACAGUUGAGUAUGUUUUCAUUUUAAUAAUGUUUCGUUCUGUUUCAGUGGACAUUCCAUCCCUUUAUCUAUCAUAGCAAGCGCUUCUAUACUGUUUUACUCUGGCUCAGGGUGUUGGCAUUUUUAGUUGUAAGCACCUAUUCUUGUUCUUUCUUUCCUUUGUUACUAGUUAUGCUGGGUUUUUUUUACUAACAAUAUGUCUCUUGCAGGUUUCUCAAAUUUUAAGGAUAAUUACUUUCUAUUCAACUCAACUUCCUGGACCUAAUUAUCACUGCCGUGAGGUAACAUUGCUGAUAUAAAUUGGCAUUUUGUGAAUAAAAAAAAACCUUGCUACGCCAGUUUCACUAGAACUACCAAAAAUCAGUUAUUUUUUGUAAUUCAUGCAGGGCUCCAAGCUUGCCAGAUUGCCGCCACCUGAAAGUGUAUUUGAGGUGCUUCUCAUUAACUGUAAGUGAUCCAAGUUUGGUUUGACUCAUCAAAGUGUGUUUUGAAUGUUUGAUGCAUUAUCCAUCAUUUGGAUGUUCACAAGGUUUCCUUUCCUCCCCUUUUCCUGCAGUUCCAAGAGGAGUUAUAUAUGGGUGUGGCGAUCUAAUAUUUUCAUCCCACAUGAUAUUUACUCUCGUCUUUGUCCGCACAUACCAGAAGUAUGGCUCUAAAAGGUAUAACAUUUGACAUUCAGUUAAAUGUGACUUGAAUUUAACUUUUGCAGAAUGCUUUGUGUUGGAAAAUAGUGUCUUGUGGACGUGGAGAUUGCAUAAUGCAUGUAUGAUAUUUGCCUUGCUCUUUUCACAGGAUUGUUAAGCUGCUAGCAUGGUUAACAGCUGUAGUGCAGAGUCUGCUUAUUAUAGCCUCCCGCAAGCACUAUACAGUCGAUGUCGUCGUGGCGUGGUGAGUGGUCUUUUUACUAUACUAGUACCUUUGUGGCUCAAAUGUUUAUUUUCUUUUUCCUACUUACAUCUCUUUUGUGCAGGUACACUGUAAAUCUGGUCGUCUUCUUCAUCGACCAGAAGCUACCUGGUGGGUCAUUUUCUCUAUUUUGAAUUUACUAGUAUAAUAGUUUUCUUAGCUUAUCAAUUAACUGUUGAUUUGUUAUGUUUCCACACAGAGAUGCCAGAUCGUUCCGGUGGAUCUACUACAUUGCUGCCCGUAAGUGUCAAAGAUAAAGAAAGCAGAUCUAAGGAAGAGCUUCACAAGCUGUUGAAUGGAAAUUCUGUGGAUUCUGCCGAUCGGGUAUGAUAGUUUACUGAAAUAUACUUUGCUUUAGUUUCAAAGAUAAACUUUUUAGUUUUGACCCUAUGGAUAAAGAACUGCUCUCAAGCACAGUGCUUGAACAAAAUCAGAGUGCUUACAUUAGGUGCGUAGCAUUUGUUGCUGGGUUUGAGUUCCCGUUUAGUUUUUAUCAGUGCCUGGUAAUUUGGUUCACCUAUGAUCGGCUGUCUACAAUAGACAUUAUAACAGCUGUUUGUUUAUUAGAAAAUAGUACAAUUUGAGUCUUACCGCCACCAUGCCAGCCCCCAUCCAAGUAGAGCUCAGUUUAUUAUGUGCAAUAAACCAAGCAGAAGUAGGAUUUCCUCUUCUAGUCAUUGUUAAGAUAUAAAGUAGUUAUAGCAAAUAGGUCUAAUGAGCUUAUUCUUUUUAUCUGUUUCUGUAUGCGAGCUGAAAACUUUGUUGUCUCCUGACUUCUGUCAGGGCAAGUUGGCAUUGCUUCUACAUGGAAGUCUGCUUUAUGCAUACCUUUGCUUAUUCCAAAUGUAUUCUUCAUUUUGUGUUACAAAUCAGGAAAAGUAAUGCCAAAUUUUAUUUUGUAGAGAGUCAGAACACAAAUGAAUGGGAAGCACUUGGAUGACCGGACUUAUGCCGAUUCAGGAACAACAAUGAAUGGCACAUAGUUUGUGGGAAAUGCAGUUGGGAUGGAGGCUUUUUUUAGGACUCAGAAGAGAGACACCAAUCAGGGGCUGGAGCAAGCAUCGCAUGUGUCUGGGCAGUGGAGAUGUCUCACUGAAUCGAAUAGGUGCUUUGAAGAUGUCACACCGAAUGGAAUAGGCCCUUGUAGUUGUAACUUAAACUAAGAAGAAAUUUUGGCGUUGGCCGACUAGAAUUUUGGUCUUUUCCUUCACCAUUGUGCUUUUUUCUUUUUCUUUUUUUUUCCGGUUUCCUUUUUUGAGGCUCCUGCUCGUCGUUAUUUUAAUUCAAGCUAGAUUGAUCAAUUUGUGUGAAGUAAUGCUGAUCGAUUCAUUGUACAUAGGUAUUCACAGCCUCUUCUAGAGGUCCAAACUCGAAAUGCAUCUGCAUUUGAAAGCGGACGAGCCCCAGUUAUGCAUAAUUCACAUGCAUAUUGAGUAUCAAAUUGUUUUCUUUCCUGUUUGUUUCAUGUGUAUUAUGUGGGGCAUGUUUGUUUCACUCAAUUAUUUUGCCUAUAAAUAACCACUUUUACUAUUUAGUUGGCUGUAAAUUAAUUUCGUCUGUUAAUUUAACUUUUUUAAUAUGUGCUAAUUGAUUUUGUCCUACGUGUUGGUUGGUGGCGAAGUCAAAUUAACGAAAAGCAAGAUAUGAACAAAUAAUUGAAAAAACCAUAAAAAAGUGGGAUAAUGAAAUUUAAUUGAAUUUUAAUCAAACAGUGAUAAAAAACAAAAAUGUUUAUGGACUUUCAGUUCAACUAUAGUCAAUUUCAACCUGAAAUUUAAUUACUGUCAGACAAACAUGCUCCCGUGGAGUAGAUGAUAAGAAUGCACACGACUAUGGCACCUUCAGCACCUGCGAACUGGCUUUUGUUAUGAAAGAAAAGAGCUGGAGAAAGAUACAUGCAAGACGGAGAAGCAUCGCAUGACAGAUUUUGAUCUGAAAUUUAUUUUUUUUUUGUUUUUUUUUUUUUGAGAGAUAUGUAGCACGCUAUCCACUUCGUUUAUUUCAUUUAGAAAUAAAUUUACCUGAAAAUGUGAAUCAAUUAAGAUUCGAACUUAGAUUUCGGAUACCAACCAUCAAAUUCUUUGCCACUUACUCAAGGGACGGUCGUUGAUUUGAAAUUUUGUUCAUAAUUAUUCUUGGCAGAGUAAUUGUUACAUGUGAGAUUUAUUUUUUGUUUACAAGCCACAUGACAAGACAUGGGUCUAAUCAAUCAAUCAAUCAAUCAAAUUUUUUAGAGUUUUCGUUCAAAUGCUAUUUGAAUAGAAUUAUUUAAAAAUACUCGUUGGGCAAAUUUUUAUUAUAGUUUCUUCUUUCUCAAAAUAUAAGUAUAAUUUUAAAAUCCGAACUCUGUACUUCCAGCCAAAGUUGGAGGAACCGAUCAUUUGUAUAUAAAUUGCCUAGCUAAGGUUCAUGAAGUAGAAAAAUCUCUUAAUAAGAGAAUCAUGCAUGCGGAGAUCGACGUACAUAUUCAUGCAGGACCAGGUGGAGAAAUCCUCCAAUAUUAUUCUAUUAAAUAAAUAGUCCGCUUCACUGUGAGAAGAAAGAGAUGAAUUUACAAAUACAAAAAAACAUGCGAGGCACAAAUCGCUGAAUUGAUGGGAGGCAUCCUUUUGUUGUAUCUACUGCAUACAUCACAUUUGCGGGUGAAAGAGAUAGUUAAAUUGGUAUUGAAUAAGACAAUAUAUAUAUAUAUAUAUAUAUAGCACCCCAUAGAUACAUACAUACAUACAAACAUACAUACAUAAAUGCAACGCAUGCAUACAGCAUACGUAUAUAAUUUUAUGAUCUCUGUAUAUUGAAGAAAAUCAAAUGGUUACUAUGUUUGGCCCCAAACAAAACUCGAUACAAAUAUCCGCACAAAAUAUAUUACCCACCCCUCUGAACAUCAUCUAAUUAUUCCUGAAACAAAUAUUAUACAAGCAGCUGGACAAACGUUCAUGUAUUUGUAUAUAUAUAGUAGUGAUAGAAAGAAUCCCACCGCAGUGGCCAACAAAUUAUUUUUAUUAUUUUUUAUAUGAAAGAUGGAGAAGGCGAAGGCGCAGCUGCAUCCUUCUUGCUGACGAACCCACCACCGGAAACUGGUCCAGGCGCCGGGCCUUCGCCCUUCUUGCUGACGAACCCACCCCCAGAAACUGGUCCAGGCGCCGCACCCGAACUCAAGAGCUCCGCCAUCGCGCGGCGAGGGUUCGAGCGUUGAGUCUCGCACAGAUCAGGUAGGAACACACCUGUUAACACCAAUUGUAUCAGCCUUCACUUUCUUUUUCCGGACGUAUAUAGUAAAUACUGUGAGCAGUGAGCUAACACUGAAUUGGACGGUGAAUUUUAAAAGGCAAUCUAAUGAAGGAGAACCAGAUGCUCCUUGUUAAAGUUUUGCCAGUAAAAUAAGCCCCACACGUACCUAUGGUGUAUACACACAUAUGGUGACUUUCUUGUUGGACUUCAUCUAGGGCCCAACAUUUCCAAAGCCCAGAUAAUGAACAUCACGUAGUCCAUCUUUUUUUUUUUUUUUUUAAAUAUGAUUUUUUCUUUUAAUUUUUCCGUGAGACAUUCCUAUCGUCUUUACUAGGUCCUUUUCUCUCUGUUUUAUGCUUCAAUCCCACUUUGGGUAUCUCCGCGUGAUCGUUACGUACGACCAUAGGAAGUUAACUGCACCUGUUGUGUGCUUCACUAUUAUUUGUCUUAUUUAAUUAAUCUUAAAUUAUAAAAUAAAUACUUCGCAAAAGAGGUAGAUUAAUGAAUUAAAAAAAAUAAAAAAUAAAAAAAAAGUUAACGUGACCUUCUCCGGCGGCGAGGUUGAAGUAGAGGUCGACGAUGUUGGGGCAGUUGUGGUAGCAGGAGGGGGAGCAGAGGUUGGAGGUGAAGCGCGGGUCGAGGAGGGAGUCGGAGGAGAUGCCGACGGUGCUGCGGUCGACGCCGCACGCCCGCACGCACUCGUCCGUCUCGAUCCAGUCCGACAUCCGCCCCACCGUCACCUCCGACGUCCGGCACUGAUACUCCGUCCCCGCACCCCCGCUCCUCGGCGCGCUCUCCAGCAGGCACCGCUUCGACUCCCACGAUAUCGAGAACGCGCACAGGUCCUGCGGCAGCUCCUCACACACCACUCCCGCCCCUUCAAAUUCAAAUUCAAAAAUUCAAAUUCAAAUUCAAAGUUUAAAUUUAAAAAACAUGCAUGCAUGGAUGCAUGUCAGCUCUAUAAAUGCGUAAUAUUAGCAGUAAAGCCAGAAUCAAAUUCAAAUCAUCUGAUGUCCUACAGCCAGAAAUCAAAACAAAUAAAACAUAAAAAUGCGUACGGAGCACGCACGCGCACGAAAGACAAAUGCAAUGGUUAUUUGUAGGUGCACAUAUAUAUAUAAUUAAAUGUGGAUAUACGUACCAAGAGCCGAUGGAAGGACGAGGGAGAGGGAGAAUAGAAGGGCCAAGCCCAUGUUAGCAAGAGAAGAGGACGCCAUUAUCAAUGGUGGUGGUGGUGGUGGUGGUGGUGGUGAGAGAGGGAGACGGAGGGGUGAUGAAUGAGAGCUUUGUUUAGGUUGGAGCUUAAUUGGUGGCAAUGGAGAGCGAGAGAAGGGGACGAGUUUCGGGGGUUUAUAUAAUAAAAGGCUAAUAAAGAACGGGAAGUGUUUCGGGUACGAAUCCAACAAUUUCGGUCUCUAUUUGUGGCUUUAACCUUCAACUGCGCAUCCCCUUUUAUAUAUAUUUUUUUCAAUUUAUUUUUUUCCACUCCUUUUCUUUAUUUAUUUAUUUAUUUAUUUAUUUAUUGCAUAAUUUCCAACCAUCACGCGGUGUUGGGCUUUGAAACAUCCGUGACGGCGAAUUAUCAUAACUCAUAAUUAAGCACCAAAUGCCAAUAAAAAGCUACCGCGUAUGGCACCAAGCAACGUACCGAUAUUUUGCACCUAUCACGUUCGAGCUUGAGAAUAGAUACGUAACGUCGGUGGCACGCGAACUUUUGCAUUUACUUUUCUUUUAAAAAAAAAAAAAUUUGACGGUUCGUAUGUAAGUUUGUAAUUAACGAGUCUGUUCUUACUAAUAAUAUCAAUUAUAAUUAUUAUUGUUAUUAUUAUUGUUAUCAUCGCGUCGAGUCAAACUCAAAGACUCGUGCGCACGUUGUCCGUUGACGACGACGAGACGUGAUGGAAGGUAAGAAAGCAUUGGCAUCUGAGGUGGGGUUUGAUCUUUGAACUUUGAACGAUUCAAAUGUGGCGAGAGAAGCUUCGUUCCCACUUCAAUACAAGUUCGCAAUCACCCUCGUUUCGUUCCGUUGCGUUUGGGCCCAUCGAUCCCAAUUAAUUAAAUUAAUUUGGUCCAUGUGGCGGAAUUUGUGGGUGCCAUUUUGAUGGGCAACAACGAUCCAUGUGGACAUAGAAAAAUGGUGGUUAACAACUGGGACAUGGGAGAGAUCGAAAUCGGAAGUCGUCGCCGCGUCGUUUUCUUUUCUCAGUGCAUUAUUAUUCCCUAAGCAAAGUCUCGUGGGUUCUAGAAAAGCUCGCAAAUCAUGUGCAUUUUUUAGGCUUGUUUUGCACCUAGCUAAAAUUAUUUUUCUUGGAAUAAUCGGCUCACACAACACGUAAUUAAAUGGAUUUGCAUAAAAAUUGCAAAAAUUAUUCAAAACUACUGCAAUUAAAAAUUCUCAAAUUUUUGUUGUAAUGAAUUCUUUUGGUUGAUCGAACAUGUACUCCACAAUCUCGGUGUUGACGCGAGAAGUCGUUGCCUACACAGCUGUUUGGAUCCCGAAGUAUUGUAAAUUGCGUUUGUAAAAUUAAAUAUCACAAUUAACGCUCGACCUUGGAAUGCAGAAUUGUAAGUCAUAGAGUAUUGGUAACGGUUCGCGGCCAUUUUUAUGACAUUCAUUGGAAUCCACAUGUGGAAACUGCACAUGCUGACCAGCAAAGCAAAGUAUAAUUUUGUUUUCCUCUUAGAAUUAGCUAAUUCAUCUCAAUUUCUAACUUGGUGCCUUGUCUUUUAAUGGGACUAAAUCCUCCUAUCACUUACGGUUCAAACCCACUAUUGCACCGAGAAUAUUGGUUCAACAGUGAUUAGACGUAAGAAUUAAUUGUGCUCUGUGUGUAUUGUGCAAGAGUUUUUUUUAUCUAUGAUCAGUUUUAGUUUAAUGUUGCGUUUUCGAUAGAUUAUACAUCUUUUUCAGCUCAGAGUUUAGGAACUCCACAUAUUAUUAGUGCAGAGAUUGCAAGUUCAGGGCCUCACAAAAGCUUUCCACAUCCUCAAAUCUCUCCAGUAAUACUAUUGCGCGAGCAGGAUAGAGCUGAGAGAUCGAGCAUAUCUGAGUGUACAGUAAAAUGAUGCCUUUCUUAAGCGUCUACGAUGUAGAAUAAAGAACGCAAAACUUUCUCUUUUGUAGCCUUACAGGCCAUGUGAGAUCUAUAAAGGCAUCGGCUGCAUCAGAUUCAGCAUGGUUUACUUUAGGGCAAGUGUGGAGAGAGGUUCGUGGCAUCCAUUUUUGUCAAGCUCGAAACUGACGGUGCCGGGACCGGCCAACCGGAGGAGUAAAGAGCCCGAAAAAUGGCCUAGCCCGAUACGACACGACACAACACGAUCUGCAUGAAAGACACAUUUAGUCUAUUUGUCAACAAAAAUAGGCGCAUAUAAAUUUAACCUACAAAAGACACAAUAUGCAUACUAGUUAACUGUCUGAAAUUUUAAAUUUGAAGUCUAAUUAUUUUAUAUUUUUUAAAUAUUUUUUUAAAAAACUUAACAUAACGAACAAUAUACUAUCUUUCUCUCCUGAAAAAGUAAAAAAAAUAGAGUCAGGGAAAAUAUAUGGGAAACCAUUAAAUGGGGCCCACCGAGGCAUCCACGAUGCAGCUUCACCUCAAACAAAUAGAAAACUUUCUAUUUCUUAGAUUGAAGGAAAAGUGUAAUGGAGCCCAGAGAUAGAAUAGUCAAUACGAAGGCUGGGCCGUGUCGAAGCGUCUUAAAUUAAACCGGGCCUUUCAAACAAUGGGGCCGAUGUGGGCCCAAAUACGCACGGGGCCGCCACGGCUUAACAGGCCUAAGAAAUGAUCCAAAAUGAGCCUAGGCCUGGCUUUUGAUAAGUCUAUUUAUGGUAUGCCACGGGUUUUUACCUAAAAUGGAAAGUUUUCCGUUUCGAGGGUAGGAUAACUGAGAGUACGGAAUAUUUGUUAGUUCAAUCGGGUUUUGUUAGAUUUAAUUAUUUUAAGUAUCUUUUAUAAAAAUUAAACUGCAAAAAUUAACAAAAUGAUGGCUCCCAGACUUACCUAAUUUAUGGGUCUUAAUUCAUUCCUAUUUGUAUUCUAAUAAUAUUUUUGUAGUAAAAUAAUUGACCAAUCUAUAGUAGGUAAUAAUUUCCUGUGAUGUUUGAGAUUUAAAAGUGUAGAGUAUAUUUUAAAUACAAAAUAAAAAAAAAGACGAGCCCAUCACUUGUCCUGUGGCCCAAUUAUGUACGAGUCCAAAGGGCCCAUUUAAUUUGGGCCCAUAUGGCGGCCCAGGCCUGCAUUUUUCAAGACUAUUUUUGGUUAGUUUCGGGACCUACUUAAAAAGGACACUUUUCAGUUUUGACGUGACAAUACAGUAAUGGAGCAUCCACUGGGGCGAUACGCUCACCACCACGUUCGAAUAACCCGACGUUUUUUUAAGCAACAGUCCACGAAAAAAAUUAUUUUGAAGGAAACGAGGCGAUUGAUGCGGGAGGGUGAGCGCACUGGCGGUGACCGGACUCGAAAAGCCCAGCCCAUAUGUCAAUUGACUAGCGAAUCAAUAGCGAUCCAAUAUCCCCGCGAUACGCUCACCGCCACCUAGCAUAACCGCAGCGUUUUGUGCGCAGCAAUCCACCAAAAAAAUUAUUUUGAAGCAAACGCGACGGUUUGUGCGGAAGGGUGAUCUCACUGGAGGUGACCGGACUCAGAAAGUGGUGUGAAAAUAUAGGCCGGCCCAAUAAGUCAAUUGCCCGGUGAAUUAAUGCGGCCCAGCCCAACAUCGACCAACUAUUGAUGCCAUAUAGGCCGAAUUAAUUGACGGGGCGAACUAAUCGAAUGGGCCUUAUUGCGAAACCACAGCCUAAAGAGUUGAGGUGCAAUUAGAUGGGCCUUCUUAAGACCCCAAGCUAGCUCAUUUUGAUAACACGUUUGAACUUAACUAAUACAUAGUCAUUGAGGCCCUAAACAUAUUUUUGUAUUAUUGUUAUUUUUUAAUUGGAGUUGCAUACGAAGAUAACCUGUUCUAAGUGCUAAAAUUCAAUGGCCCUUCUCUCUCAAUCUCUCUGCUCUGCUCUGCUCUGCUCUGCAAAUAAGUAGACAUGGGUUUUUCUCACAGGGAUCCGCUGCUCACCAGCAAGCUUAGCAAGAACAGAUAAACAGUUUGAUUCAUACACAGUAAAUAUUCAAUGGCGUAUUGAAUAUUUACGCCAGUGAAUAUUCACAGAGCAAAAAUAACCAAAAGAAAAAAAGAAGCAAUGUCUUUUGUUGUAUUAAUUGGUAUUGUGGUAACUUAUGGUUAGUCAUAAUUCAGCUGAUCUGUUUUCCAAUUAUUUGAGGUUUAUUUCAACUAUCAUUCCUCCCCCAUUCUUUUCAUCAGGUCGUUGGUUAACCUCUAUGCUGCUGGAGAAUAAAGCAAGCGAAUUGAUGGUCCGGAGAGCUUGCUUUCCCGCUUCAGUAUUAAACAUGCCCUGGUCGCUGGUCGAAGCGGCACGCUAACAGCAACGUGCCAUUAUAUCGCCUUUGGGUCCCAGCGAUACGCUCACCGCCGCACACGAAUAACCCCGACGUGUAGUAAGCAACAACCCACGGAAAUUUUUUUUUUGUAGGAAACGAGACGAUUACUGCAGGAGGGUGAGCACACGGACGGUAACCGGACUCAGAUAGCCCGGCCCAAUAAGUCACUAGCGAAUCAAUAACCGGAGCAAAUGGAGGCCCAACAUCCCAGCGAUUCGCUCAUCGGGCUUGGAUAGCCUGGCCCAAUACGUCAAUUGGCUGGUGAAUUAAUGCGGCCCAAAAUUGGAUCAACUUUCCAUGAUUCAUGGGCUGACUUAAUCGAAUGGGCUCAUCGCUAAAGCACAGCUUAAAUAGGUGAGGUGCAACGACAUGGCCAUCCUUAAGAGCCCAAACUUUGUACACUGAACCACGCACCUAAUGGUUUUUGUUUUUUUUGCGUCCAGUGCGAUAAAAUUUGUCCAGAAAAUAGAAAACCACUAGUAGCUCUCGAGUUAUAACUUUAGCAAAGCACUCAACGCACCCAGAAAAGUAAAAUGGAAUAAGGUGUGGCUUGAUAAAUAUGAAGAGGCCUGCUUUAAAAAUGAAUACAUUUUCAACUUUCUCAUGAUAAAUAUGAAGAGGAGAAAAGUAGAAUAUCUUUCGUUUUUUACCUCUUAUUAUUUUGGCACAUAUCUUUUUUACCUCUUCUUAUUUUGGAACAUAUCUCCUGGACAAAAAUCAUCAACAAACUAGUGUGUGUAUGGCAUGAAGGUUAAGCGGUCCCACGAGGAGUAGAAACAAUACUAUCCUCACAUUCCCCACCCGCUGAGACACCCAAUCCAAACUUCCAAACUACAAUAUCCUCACAUUCCCCACCCGCUGAGGCACCCAAUCCAAACUUCAAACUACAACCCCCCAAGAAGAACACAUGGAUCAGAAACGCGGGAAACUAAAGCAACAAUGGCUGCCUCAGCUGCGAUCUCUGCUCCCUCUCAGCUCCUCUGCAGCAGAGCUUCGACCCGUAUCUCACCCUUUCCGCAUUUGGUCCUCUCGCUUUUGCCCGGGAGGGCCUGCUCACACCAUGUGCGCUCUUCUCCAGCUUCAAAUAUACGAUGCGCUGCAGUGGACGCCACAGCGUCGCAAGUGGAGACGGUGGCAACCAAGAAGAAGAGCAGCUUUGCAGUGCAGACGCUGACAACAUGGCUGCUGAAGCAGGAACAAGCAGGCAACAUCGACACAGAGCUGACCAUCGUCCUUUCGAGCAUCUCCGUGGCGUGCAAGCAGAUUGCCUCCCUAGUCCAACGGGCCAGCAUCGCCAAUCUCACAGGCGUCCAGGGCGCCGUCAACGUCCAAGGCGAAGACCAGAAGAAACUUGAUGUCAUCUCUAACGAAGUAAUCGAUUAAUCAACACUCAAUCUGCCCUUUCUGUUCUGCAAGUAACUACAAAGUUUGGCAAUUCUCGUAAACUACAGGUGUUCUCAAAUUGUCUGACAUCAAGCGGGCGUACAGGAAUCAUAGCCUCAGAAGAGGAGGACGUGCCGGUGGCCGUAGAAGAGAGCUACUCCGGCAAUUACAUCGUGGUGUUCGACCCCCUCGACGGCUCCUCCAACAUCGACGCGGCCGUCUCCACUGGCUCCAUCUUUGGCAUCUACAGUCCCAAUGAUGAGUGCCUUGCUGACACCGGUGACGAUGCCACAGUAUACAUGCUCCCUUUCCUAAUCUUUUUCCCCCGGUCCGAACACACGUAGUAGAUUGAAUCUUAUGGUUCUGACCUUUGUAAUAUGGCAAUGACAGCUCGAUCAGACGGAGCAGAGGUGCGUGGUCACCGUGUGCCAGCCUGGAAGCAACCUACUUGCCGCAGGAUACUGCAUGUACUCCAGCUCAGUGAUCUUCGUGCUUACAGUGGGGGAGGGCGUGUUCGUGUUCACGCUGGACCCCAUGUAUGGCGAGUUUGUGCUGACCCAGGAAGAGGUGAAGAUACCGCGAGCAGGCAAGAUAUACGCGUUCAACGAAGGAAACUACCAGCUGUGGGAAGACAAGUUGAAGCAGUACAUGGACAUCCUCAAGGACCCUGGGCCAUCAGGGAAGCCCUACUCGGCCCGGUACAUCGGCAGCCUCGUCGGGGACUUCCACCGGACUUUGCUGUACGGUGGCAUAUAUGGAUAUCCCCGCGAUAAGAAGAACAAGAAUGGGAAGCUCAGGCUGCUUUACGAGUGCGCUCCGAUGAGUUUCAUUGUGGAGCAGGCUGGCGGGAAGGGAUCGGACGGCCACCAAAGGAUUCUCGACAUCAAGCCUGAAGAGGUAAGCUACCGUUACUUUUGUUGUAGUUCAUCUCGUUCUGUCUGAAACCAGAGAAUAAAUAUAGCUUAGAACAGUUAGUAUGCACACCGGGCUAAUACGGCGAAAUACAAAUCUUUGAUUUUACUAGAUCCAUCAAAGAGUUCCACUAUUCAUCGGAAGCGUUGAAGAAGUCGAGAAGUUGGAGAAGUUCUUGGCAUGAUCCUUUUGUACGGAAGGCCGGUUAGCCUCACAUAGGACUAUAUUUUGGAAGCCUUCCGCACACUCCAAAAUUUUAAGAAACUCCUAUGCCCAUCUUUAUUUAUUGUUUCACAUGCAGCAGAUGUAUUUUUUAUACGUAGUUUCCAUCGUAUCUAUUGUUACAGAUAGAAUUUGAUGAGGAUACCACUGCCAGUAUUCUGGGCAUUCAUUCAUCUGGCAUCAAAUUUUAAACCUAUGAAAAUGAAUGGAAAAAUAAAAUGCUUCAUGAUUGGCCCUAUUAACAACUUUUAGCAACAUUAAAUUUCAGCAAAUUUUUGCGGUACUUAGAGCGUAGUACAUACCAAAUAAACCUUACGCUGCAGGCAAAUUAAUCUAUCAAUCAUGCUCAAAGAAUCAAGCGGAAAGACAAAAAAAAAAAAAAAAAUCACAAAUUCGAAGAAGUAGAAGGAAUAGUCACACAUCAUAGGAUAAGAUUCACACGAUUUAUUUACACGCAAAGUGGCCCGGCAUACAGCACGACCAAGACACGCAUCAGUAAUUCACCAGCAAUUCAAAAUACAAAAAUGCACGAGAAUCGCUCGACGAAAUGCGAUGGACAGAGAAAGAAGGCACCGAACCGACCCUAACGAGUAAGUAGCAGCACACUACACAUUACACUACGAUUAAAGAGAGACUCAGAUCAGACGCACAGAGAGAGAGACGAUGACGAAGUAGAUGAGACCUAGAAGAUUUAUUCGUUCUGGGAAGGAAGGAAGGAAGGAAGGAAGGAAGGAAGCAAAGCUGCUGCUGGUGCUGUGCUGAUCAGCAUCAUCGUGAUCAGCCGGAGAUCUGGACGGACUUGACCUGGGGCUUCUUGACGUCCUCCUUGGGGACGGUGACGGUGAGCACGCCGUUCUCCAUGGCGGCCUUGACCUGAUCGACCUUGGCGUUGUCGGGGAGGCGGAACCUGCGUAGGAACUUGCCGCUGCUGCGCUCCACGCGGUGCCAGGUGUCGUUCUUCUCCUCCUUCUCCCUGGUGCGCUCGCCGCUGAUCUGCAGGACGUUGCCCUCCUCCACCUCCACCUUCACCUCCUCCUUCUUCACCCCCGGCAGAUCCGCCUUGAACACGUGCGCCUCCGGCGUCUCCUUCCAAUCUAUGCGGGCGCCCGCGAACGACGCUGUCUCCGCGGGGAAGGACGCCGAGGGGCGCGGGAACGAGAGGGCGCCGCCGAAGGGGAAGCCCUCGAAGGGCUCCCACAGGUCGAGGGAGAAGGGAUCGAAGAUGUUGCUUCGCCGAACCAGAGACAUGAUGAUCGCUUCCGAAGACGACGCUUCUUCAGAGGGUUUAGGAUGGAUGGAUUGUUCCGAUGAGACUGCCUGCUUGCUUGCACUUGAUGGAUGAUGAUGGGUCGAUGAGGCUAGAGCGGAGUGGGGAGACCUAUAUAUAGAUAGAGAGAGAGAGAGUUUCUCGAACGUUCCCCAGGCUUCUUCCGAUUACUCUCGACGGUUCCGGAACCGCCAGCCGAUCAGACAAACCGGUUCAAGCGAACCGCGAGAACCAUCGCGUCCGUUCUAGCACUUUCUCGACAAAGGCGUGCGUUACCGUACUUACGGCGCUAUGAGAUGCUUCGCCACCGACUUCACCUUUCGCGCAAGGUUAUAUUGAAUACUGCAAAUCGAUAUGUCUCGUCGCCGACUUUGUUGUUUAUGUUUCGCUGCAGAGUAUGCUUAUAAUUUAUACCCCACUAGCUCCAUGAUUCCAAAUCCUCUAAGUCCAAGACAAAGACAGAAACUUGUGGGUCGUUUUAGCGCGAGCAUUACAGCAGUUGAUUAACUGAAUACAUACACCACGGUCCCACCCAACAACGAACACACAUACACACACACAUACACAAAAAAAGGAAGAGUAUAGACAUGUUAGUUUGCAAACUAAUAUCACAAACAAAGGCAACAAGAAAACCAAAUGACCUCUUAAUGACAUUAGCUCUGAUGCCUACACUUUCGCUUUGAGAGAGAGAGAGAGAGAGAGAAAAGCAAAAAGGACUGUUGUAUCUGAUUUCAAAAUGAAUAACACACAAAUAUAUAUACUCUAAAAUUAUUGCAUAUUACAAACCGCCUCGCAAAUAUUUUUUUUGAGAGAUAGGUAGCCAAAUAUUUUUUUUGAGAGAUAGGUAGUACGCUAUCCGUUUCGUUUAUUUCAUUUAGAAAUAAACUUAGCUAGAAAUGUGAAUCAACUAGGAUUCGAACUUGGGUCUCGGAUACCAACCACCAAGCCCUUUGCCACUUGCUCUAGGGACGGUCGGUCACCUCGCAAAUAUUUAAGAAUGGUUACCCAUCAACUUUGUCAAAA